UACGUAGGGUCCGAGCGUUGUCCGGAAUCAUUGGGCGUAAAGAGCGUGUAGGCGGUCCGGUAAGUCCGCUGUGAAAGUCGGGGGCUCAACCCUCGAAUGCCGGUGGAUACUGUCGGGCUAGAGUACGGAAGAGGCGAGUGGAAUUCCUGGUGUAGCGGUGAAAUGCGCAGAUAUCAGGAGGAACACCAAUUGCGAAGGCAGCUCGCUGGGACGUUACUGACGCUGAGACGCGAAAGCGUGGGGAGCAAACAGG
This 253-nucleotide ribosomal RNA is filed under the name uncultured bacterium. RNAcentral describes it as "partial 16S ribosomal RNA". It matches the Rfam family "Bacterial small subunit ribosomal RNA", at positions 524 to 776 of the family's 1533-position model. The record is from RNAcentral.